CAAUAGCGUAUAUUAAUUUUGCUGCAGUUAAAAAGCUCGUAGUUGGAUCUUGAAGAAUGAGGAAUGUUUUUGAUCUUACCUUGAUAAAAGGUAAAGUAUCAGCUUCCUGGUUCUUUGAUAUAUUUUAUAAAAGCAAAUGUCAGGCUAUUAGUUUAGCCUGGUAUGCAUGAGGUCUCUCUUUUGUGGGGGGACUUUGUGCUGCAGGAAUUUUUGAGGUUUCUUCGCGGAAGCCACAAUUUUUCUUGUAUUGUUUUAUAUUUUUUACUUUGAAAAAAUUAGAGUGUUUAAAGCAGGGCAACAGGCCCAUUGAAUAUAUUAGCAUGGGAUGAUAGAAAAAGACAAAUAUCUUUUUUAUUGGUUUUAGCGAAAAGAUUUAAUUUGUAAUGAUUAAAAGGGAUAGUUGGGGUGGUUUGUAUUGAAUGGGAAGAGGUGAAAUUCAUGGAUUCAUUCAAGACAAACUUCAGCGAAGGCAUUCCACAAAAAUGUUUUCAUUAA
This 495-nucleotide ribosomal RNA is filed under the name uncultured eukaryote. Its description in RNAcentral is "partial 18S ribosomal RNA". It matches the Rfam family "Eukaryotic small subunit ribosomal RNA", at positions 592 to 976 of the family's 1831-position model. The record is from RNAcentral.